RNAcentral lists this ribosomal RNA (274 nucleotides) under uncultured bacterium. RNAcentral describes it as "partial 16S ribosomal RNA". It matches the Rfam family "Bacterial small subunit ribosomal RNA", at positions 523 to 796 of the family's 1533-position model. The record is from RNAcentral.
AUACGGAGGGUGCAAGCGUUAAUCGGAAUUACUGGGCGUAAAGCGUACGUAGGCGGUUCGUUAAGUUAGAUGUGAAAGCCCCGGGCUUAACCUGGGAACUGCAUUUAAAACUGGCGAACUAGAGUUGAGUAGAGGGGAGUGGAAUUUCAGGUGUAGCGGUGAAAUGCGUAGAGAUCUGAAGGAACACCAGUGGCGAGGGCGACUCCCUGGACUCGAACUGACGCUGAGGUACGAAAGCGUGGGUAGCAAACGGGAUUAGAAACCCUAGUAGUCC